GCCAGGCGUGGUGGCGGGCACCUGUAAUCCCAGCUACUCAGGAGGCUGAGGCAGGAGAAUUGCUUGAACCCAGGAGACGGAGGUUGCAGUGAGCUGACACAGUGCCACUGCACUCCAGCCUGGGUGACAGAGUAAGACUCUGUCUCAA
This is a non-coding RNA of Pan troglodytes (chimpanzee), 148 nucleotides long. It matches the Rfam family "Metazoan signal recognition particle RNA". Rfam says of the family: The signal recognition particle (SRP) is a universally conserved ribonucleoprotein. NCBI's taxonomy places the organism in Eukaryota, Metazoa, Chordata, Mammalia, Primates, Hominidae. The record is from Rfam.